Molecule: ribosomal RNA, 497 nt
Filed under: uncultured bacterium
Lineage: Bacteria
Description: partial 16S ribosomal RNA
Rfam family: Bacterial small subunit ribosomal RNA
Source: RNAcentral
GACGAACGCUGGCGGCGUGCCUAAUACAUGCAAGUUGAGCGCUGAAGGUUGGUACUUGUACCAACUGGAUGAGCAGCGAACGGGUGAGUAACGCGUGGGGAAUCUGCCUUUGAGCGGGGGACAACAUUUGGAAACGAAUGCUAAUACCGCAUAAAAACUUUAAACACAAGUUUUAAGUUUGAAAGAUGCAAUUGCAUCACUCAAAGAUGAUCCCGCGUUGUAUUAGCUAGUUGGUGAGGUAAAGGCUCACCAAGGCGAUGAUACAUAGCCGACCUGAGAGGGUGAUCAGCCACAUUGGGACUGAGACACGGCCCAAACUCCUACGGGAGGCAGCAGGAGGGAAUCUUCGGCAAUGGACGAAAGUCUGACCGAGCAACGCCGCGGGAGUGAAGAAGGUUUUCGGAUCGUAAAACUCUGUUGGUAGAGAAGAACGUUGGUGAGAGUGGAAAGCUCAUCAAGUGACGGUAACUACCCAGAAAGGGACGGCUAACUACGUG